Molecule: ribosomal RNA, 537 nt
Filed under: uncultured bacterium
Lineage: Bacteria
Description: bacterial SSU rRNA
Rfam family: Bacterial small subunit ribosomal RNA
Source: RNAcentral
AAUAGAUACCCGGGUAGUCCACGCCGUAAACGAUGUCGACUUGGAGGUUGUGCCCUUGAGGCGUGGCUUCCGGAGCUAACGCGUUAAGUCGACCGCCUGGGGAGUACGGCCGCAAGGUUAAAACUCAAAUGAAUUGACGGGGGCCCGCACAAGCGGUGGAGCAUGUGGUUUAAUUCGAUGCAACGCGAAGAACCUUACCUACUCUUGACAUCCACGGAAUUUAGCAGAGAUGCUUUAGUGCCUUCGGGAACCGUGAGACAGGUGCUGCAUGGCUGUCGUCAGCUCGUGUUGUGAAAUGUUGGGUUAAGUCCCGCAACGAGCGCAACCCUUAUCCUUUGUUGCCAGCGAUUCGGUCGGGAACUCAAAGGAGACUGCCAGUGAUAAACUGGAGGAAGGUGGGGAUGACGUCAAGUCAUCAUGGCCCUUACGAGUAGGGCUACACACGUGCUACAAUGGCAUAUACAAAGAGAAGCGACCUCGCGAGAGCAAGCGGACCUCAUAAAGUAUGUCGUAGUCCGGAUUGGAGUCUGCUAAACG